CAGGCUUCUGCCUGCUGGGCACCCUGGCUUUCUCAUACAUCCUCUGAAAUCUAGGUAGAGGCUGCCAAGCCUCCUUCACUCUUACAGUCUGCAUGACUGCAGGCUUAACACCACAUGGAAGCUGCCAAAGCAUAUGGCUUGUGUCCUUUGGAGCAGCAGCCUGAGCUGUGCCUGGGGCCGCUUGAGCCACAGCUGGAGCUGGAACAGUCUGGAUGUGGGGAGCACUGUCCCAAGGAGGCUGUGCAGAGCCAUGGGGCCCUAGGCCUGGCCCACAAAACGAUUCUUCCCUCCUAGGUCUCUGGGCCUGUGCCUGUGAUGGCAAGGGCUGCCCCUUAGAUCUCUGAAAUGCCUUCAAAGCCUUUUUCCCAUUGUCUUAGCUAUUAGUACCUGGCUCUCUUUUAGUUACUCAAAUUUCUCUAGCAAGUGGUUGCCCCACAGCCUGCUAGAAUUCCUCUACUGAAAAUACUUCUUUCUCUGUCACAUGGCCAGGCUGCAAAUUUUCUAAACUUUUACACUCUGCUUCCCCUUUAAAUAUAACUUCUAACUUUAAGUCAUUUUUUUGCUCUCACAUCUGAGUUAGGCAGUUAGAUGCAGCCAUGUCGCUUCUUGAACACUUUGCUGCUUAGAAAUUUCCUCUGCCAGAUACCCUAGGUUGUCACUCUGAAGUUCAAACUUUCAUAGGUCCCCACAGCAUGAACAAAGUGCAGCCAAGUUCUUUGCUAGGGCAUAAUGAGGGUGACCUUUGCUCCAUUUCUAGGUUCCUCAUUUCCAUCUGAGACCUCGUCAACCACGCCUUCACUUUCCAUAUCACCAUCAGCAUUCUGGUUACAACCAUUUGACCAGCCAAGCACUAUUCUAACUUCUGGGAAUACAGAAGUGCUCCUCAUGGAACUUAACAGUCUAGUGGAGGAAGAAGGACAAUAAAUGCAACAAAGAAGUAAAUUAGUCAGGAUGUCAGAGAGUGAGAUGAUAUUUAAACCAUGAGACUGAAUUUUUUUAAAAAGGAAGAGGACCGAAGACUAAGUUCUGGGCGCUCCAAUUUUAGGCAGUAGCGGAGAUGAAGAAAAACCAGCACACUAGAUGGUUAAAGAGCAGCCAACAAGAUGCUCGUUACAAUUAUUUUUUAACUUCUUAAAAUAUCUCAUUGAGGAUUCCAUUCUAAGAUGGCCGAAUAGGAACAGCUCUGGUCUGCAGCUCCCAGUGUGAUCGGCGCAGAAGACGGGUGAUUUCUGCAUUUCCAACUGAGGUACCUGGUUCAUCUCAUUGGGAUUGGUUGGACAGUGGGUGCAGCUCAUGGAGGGUGAGCCAAAGCAGGGCGGGGCACUGCCUCACCUGGGAAGUGCAAGGAGUCAGGGAAUUUCCCUUUCCUAGCCAAGGGAAGCCGUGACAGAUGGUACCUGGAAAAACGGGACACUCUCGCCCAAAUAUUGCACUUUUCCAAAGGUCUUAGCAAACAGCACACCAGGAGAUUAUAUGCCGUAUCUGGCUCAGUGCUAAUGAGCCUUGCUCACUGCUAGUGCAACAGUCUGAGAUUGACCUGCGAGGCAGCAACCUGGCAUGGGGAGGGGCAUCUGCCAUUGCUGAGGUUUGAGUAGGUAAACAAAGUGACUGUGGAAACUCGAACUGGGUGGAGCCCAUCACAGCUCAGUGAGGCUGGCUGCCUCUGUAGUUUUCACCUCUAGGGGGCAGGGCAUAGCUGAACAAAAGGCAGCAGAAACUUCUGCAGACUUAAACGUC
Cercocebus atys (sooty mangabey) is the source of this 1737-nucleotide long non-coding RNA. RefSeq lists it as uncharacterized. NCBI's taxonomy places the organism in Eukaryota, Metazoa, Chordata, Mammalia, Primates, Cercopithecidae. The transcript is spliced from 3 exons. The record is from RefSeq and is a predicted model, not a curated record.